GUUGUUUUUCUCGAGUCACCCGACCCAGGCCCCGACCCGGCCCGGUCGUCAGAGGAGGCUUGUUUCUAUUCAGUGAGCUGCAAAUUAGACUGACCCUGUGCUGCCACCCCCGAACCCACACACACACUCUCCCCUCCAUCCAUCUUGGCUCGCUUGUUCACUUUCUUUUCACUUCGGCUCCUCUCUUUGGAGGCCCCGUCAUACCCGACACAGAGUGCCAUCAGUCAGACCACACACAAGACGAGAAAAGGAGGGACGGACGGGUCACAAAGGAUAAGCUGCCUGGAUCCAAGGACACACAGAAGACCACAGCCUAAAACACUGGACCCACAGACUCAGAACAUCCUCAGCAUGGAGCUGCAGCCUUCUGGUUCACAACUGCAUGUCCUUCAGCUUCUCUCCCAGCAACGCAGGCUGGAUGGUGUUGAAUGCACUGGAGAAAUCAAAGAACAGGAUCUUCACUGAGGCGUCAGCCAACAGAUGAGAAACAACGUCUCUGAAAUAUCGCUGCAUCAGCAGAAACAGCAGUGUGGUACGGGCUCGGGUCCACGUUUUUGGAACCCAGACCUGCCCUGGAUCUUUACAACACACACGGACCAGGAGCAAGUCAGGCAGAACACGUGUGGCUGCCUGUCUGCAGUGGAGCAGCUGGAAGGAGCCAAAGCAGAGUCAGACCAGGUCCCUUUCCAGACGGCCUCCUAUCAGAUCUCUAUCACAUUAUUGAUGACCAAGAGGCUCUAAUCAAUAUUAAAAGGUCACCAUCACCUUCACUCUGUCCUCCCUCAGCUGCUGCCAUCGUCUCCAUCUAGAAUCUCCCUCCUCUCUCAUCCUCUGCAACAACCUUGGUUCCUGUUUAUUACGCACACACUCCUCAUGAUGGUGGAGUCAAACUACAAACCAGAGGAAAAGUGCUUCCUCUCUCUGAUCACACACACUGCAGGACAGACAGGAACAACCUUUCCAACGCAUGGACAGCAUCACGACAGCAGGACGCUCAGAGGAGGCUUUCACUCCAGUGCUGAGGAUGUGAAACGACCCCUGUCUAUGCGUCAUUAGAUUAACCAAGCGCUGUGAAGGAACCAGAGCUCUGUUUCAGUUACUGUAAAAGCAAAAGGCCACUGGAAGCUGGUGGCGAUCAGUGUGAACAGCUGGACAUCACAGCACACACACAGCAGUUACAGAUAGCGGGGUUUCCUCAAAUCAGCCAUGAUUUACAGUCCGCGAUGACAAAGACUCUAUGGCACCGUCCUGCUGAACACUGAUGUGAGUCACAGUAAAUGGACCCGUGGUCCUUGUGUCGUCCUCUGCUGUGAAUGGCGGCAGAAAGCCUCCUCUGUUCCACCACUCGGACGCACAAUUGAAUCCUUCACAUCCACCAUCAGUUCCUUUCCUCCACUCUUUUGCUGCUCAGACAGAAGAAGACUGUGUCUGAUGCCAUGACAGAAACCAGACAGUGUCCAUCUCACUGAGUCAUGAACUGAACUGGCUCUGGAAUCUGCAGGUUCAGCUAUAAAUAGUAUCAGUUCCACAUAUGGUGAUGAGAGGAGGACAUUUCCAGGACUUCUACGAUCUAGUUGGAGGUUUUCCUGGGGAUCCUCAUACUGUUAAGCUCUCCUCUAAGCUUCAUGUUUUAAAUGUCACUGUUCUCCAACAUGCUGACCUCUUAAAGCAGCAACGGAGCAGAGGCUUCUGGCGCUUUGGGUCGCGACCACUAAGCUCAUUGUGUUUCUCUCACUGACUGAUGGGUGUGGACUCAAACAAAACUGAUCAGAUGCUCAGUAACAGCUUGGCACCAAAAAGCAGCAUUGGACUGUUUCACAUCUAAAGAAACAGUCCACAGAGCACUGUUAAGACAAGAUAAAUCAGACUUUAUUGGACCCUUGGGGGAUUUGUUAUCUCUGCAUUUAACCCAUACACACAGAAGGAGCAGCAGUGAGCAGCCACACGUGGGUUCGAACAGGUAACCUCCCCCCUCUCAGACCCACGCUCCACCCACUGAGCCACAAGAGGAUGAAAACUAAAAGCUAAACUAAAACACUUAUGUAUCUAUUGUUGAGAACCAGUUUCCCCGUAAGCAACAAAAUGGGAAUUCAACUGAUUGUAAAUUCAAUGAAAUGCUAAAACAGCUUCAGGAGCAGAGGGUUUCAUAAGAGCCGACUGUUAUGUGGGUGGUGAUAACGGGUCUGGGGGCUGUUACUUAGAUGUGAUAACACCACCUGUCAGUGUGAGUGCGCUGGUGUGUUCCUGCUCAGGAGGAUUUAAGGAGCCGCAGAUCUGUACAUUCAGGAUUAUGGAUUUUCCAUCUGUCAGCGACGCUGCAUGCGGCCGACACGGAGGUGACCCCAACGACCCCACAAGGUUCGAGGCGGGGAUGAAAGAAGGUCAGAAAAGCCCAAAAAGAGAAGGCAGAUGAUGACGACCACGAAGGCGUUCGGUUUCACCACUGGCCCAGAAAACGGAGGGAGGAGAGGAGCGAAGAGACAAACGAACAGAGACAAACGCAGCUCUCACUUCAUGCAUGAAGCCGAGGCAGCGGACGCGUGCGCGGAGGAGCUGCUGUCCUGGUCGCUAACAAGCAGCGCUGAUGCUGAGCACACAGCACAUUCACUCAACUGUUUCUGCUCAGACGCGGCCACAUCUGUGCUGUGUUAGCAAUGACUUACGUCAGUUAGCAAAUGUAACGGGCUCCGGAUUCCGAGGCUAUGACUUAACAUGAAUUCAUUUCAACAGCAGCCUAAAUGAGAAGUGAUAGGAUGGGCUCCCACGCACUGCAGACUGAGCAGGUGAUGGGUUCAGCUGCUUGAGCUGCUGGAGGCUCCCUGACACCACCCAGAGGGAAUUCAUCUGAUUAGAAGAAGAACCUCAGCAGGAAUGGAGAAAUUCACGUUUCCAGCAUCAGGUUAACGUUUCAGCUCAUGUGUCCAAGUUCUUCACACAGCAGCCUCACUUUGUUGGAAGCAAAGACACUAUGAGCGACCAGUAGAACGGCCACGGACCGUUCUGCCUUUAAAGAGGAGAAUGGUGCGAUGCUGAGAUGAGCGCAGUCUCACUGACCUUCACCUUUUGGGGCUCAGUGGCUCGAGCGUUGCUCCCAGAAGACACUUCACGCUAGCUCCCUGUGUGAGGCCGCUCGCUGCUACUCCGUGUGUGUACGGGUCAAAUAAAGUAUCGUAUUUGAGAAAACCUUCAAGAAAUGCGCUCCUCACCCAAAGCAGCGACAGGCUGCGGAACAGCAGCUUCACCAGGACACGGUCCAUCAGCAGCAGCAGGCACGUUCUCACGCGUUAGCAGCUGGAUCCGAGUUCAAUCAGCCUGUUCGGUAGCUCUACAAAGACGUCAGGGUUCAGUCCUCACUAAGUACCAACAUAAUGACCAACGGAUGGACACUUCCACCCUUUAGCACCACCUACAGUAACAACACUUUCACUGAGAGAGGUUUCCAACUGCAAAGCGUUUCUAUUAGACACGAUGUGUUGACUAGGAAUCAGAUCACACUUCUAUUCCUCCUAAUGAUCAGCUUCAUUUUGUCUCUUAGACCUCACAGCUCCUGGUCGACUGCUGGUUCUAGUGGUUCUACGCGUAGGAUGGCAGGCAAAGGUUCUCUGUGGAACCAGCUUCAGUCCAGGUUCUGGAUCUAAAUCCCGGAUAACCUUGCUGUGAUGAAGCGGCCGCCACCUUGAGCUGUCCGGUUUACAACGUAUUUAUAGAAUGCAAAAUCUAUGCUGCUGCUCAGGAUGAACACAACAGUGUUAAACAUAAUGUUUGUAACCAUAGCAACAGCUUCUGCUGUCAGUGCACAAACCAAUUUACAAACACUUGAUUCCAACAAGGCGUCUUUGUUCCUCUGGUAUGUGUGUUUUCUCCACUGCCACAAGCACAACCACCUGUAAUCGCGUUAAAAACGGGACUGAAGAAAACUAGGAAUUAAACUGCUUUGUGACUUCUGAAUCUAAUCUCUGCUGCUGCAAACCAGGCAAAAGAGAGGCAAAGGCACCUGAAGGUUUCUGGAUCUGUUCAAGUGCCUGAAGCACGUCUGCACAGGCCGCGGCGUGUCAGCGAUGGUGGGCGCUUCAAGCGAUCGCGACACACCCUGAAACACAAACCAAAGAGCGGCAGCUCACACACUCACACACACACCUGCCUGCAGUAGCUGCAUAUAGACCGGCUUCUGAGUCACAGUGAGUCACUGCCAGUGUUCAAUCCUCCCAUGCCGACCCGGGUCCACAGCACCUGGACACGGGUCGGCAGGGGGCGGAGCCGGGUCGCGGCUCAUUCGCCAGCAUCAAACACGUCUAAAAGGGAAAGUUGAGGAGUCAGGUUCCAGUUCCUUCCUCCUUCUAUUCAAUUCAAUUCAAUUCAAUUCAAUUUUAUUUAUAUAGCGCCAAAUCACAACUCUAGAGAUUCUCUUAAUUCCUGAAGAAAAACUAUCCAAUCAUUUAAUGCAGACCUGAUUAGACUUUCCCCACAUUUCUCUGGUUGGUGCUCACCUCCGUGUCCUCACUGGUGCAAUCAGGCAGCUUGCUCCAACCACUCAAUAAUAGAUGAAGGUCUUUUCUUUUAAAGUCAGAACCUGAAGAGAUUGAAGCGGACCAACACAGCAGGAGGCAGAACUACACCCACUCUCCACAGACUCAGCAGUAAUGGCUCCCACAGGGAGCAGCCUAUCGAUAUGUCAGUGGACGGGCGAGGAAGAGGAUCAAAAGGCUGAACAAUUACAGCUACGAGCUGAACAUCAGCAAGAAACUAGUCUGAACCACGCAGCUCUCAUCGCUGUGCACCAGGUAUGAGGAGAAACACCGGGAUGGGAGUGCAUGCAACUACAGCCAACUGAAACCUCAAGUACAAGUGUAUCACAUCAGCAGAACCUGAUCACAGGCUGUCCUGCCCUCAGGUUCCACAGCUAAAAUCUAAAAUCCACGUUACUGUUGAUCUGUGAAGCUAUAAUGUGAUGAUAACUGAGGCCGAACCGCUGUGCGAUCGUCUCAGAUCCGACUAUGACUCGUGACCAGAAGAACAGCCCACAGAUGGAGAGUCCGUUAUUUACCACCCACUAAAAGUUCAGCCUGGAGUUUUGAACUUUGUCAAAGCACUUCAAACUGUUCAGCUUCAAAGGCCUCCAUUAGAUGGGUUUCAAAUAUUAAUAGCUGCAACCAGCUCCCUCUUUAAUCAAUACCUGUGGCUCACACUGAUGCACAGCAACAUGCUAAAAACAGCCUCCAUGUCACAGUGCAACACUCUCCCACACAGCUGUUGUCUCACACUUUGUGGCAACAAGCUUCGACACAAACACCUCAAACCGGCUCCAAAUCAGCAUCUUACGACAGGCACACACCCAUGAGGAGAGAGUCAGCACAGUCCACGUCAACUACUGCAGCAUGAAAGACCUUCAGUGCACACAUGACGCCUGGGAAUAUAUUCAAAUACAAUUCAUCAGUAUAAAAUCAAAACAACGAUGCGCUGCUCAGAACGAGUCCUCCCCGUGUUUCUCAGCUGCUGAAGUAAGACACAAGCUUCCAGCUGCACCGCCUGCUUUUCAGAGCCACCACCCACGUCCUGGAGCUUUGCUCAUGCACGAGUGGCUUAAGACUUACGGUUGGAUUCAAAAUGGGGACAAUACGUUGUGCGAGAGCCAGAAAAUAAAGCUUUCAAUGACAUCGUCAUAAUAGUUUGAAGGUUUCUGACAGCAGUAACUUCUCACAAUGUCUUGGGUCUUUGUUCAGGUCAGACGACUUCGUGUCCAUCACCGCAUUGACAGAAUAAACCUGCCCCACCUGAAUGGAGAGCAGCCAACGGCACAAACACGUGUCCACAUCUCAGCAUUGAGGAGGAAAUGCUCAGCGAGCCGGACACACCCACCGCUGCUGCGAGGGCUGGAAAUCCCUUUACUGGCAUUUAAAACGCAAGUACAAUAGUGACUCACUACCAGAAUGGACCAUUUGCAAGUGAUUUAAGUUCCGUUGUUUGAAGAGUUUGAACUCGUGCAUCUGCCGUUAUUGCAGCGACCAAUCAAGGUCCAAGGACAUUUCUGCACCUGUUCAGGGAAUAACUUAGUGUCAGGUUUUGUCUGAAGUCUCUGCACUGAUGUGUCUGUGUGUCACACACUUCGCAGCCUCCAGCAACAGCAGCUAAUCAGCGUCACUGAAGAAGCAGACAGGUGGGAAAUUACUGAAGAGCAGCUCGACCGGUUAAUGUGUUUAAUGAGUGCAGAUUUCAGAGAUGCUGCAGAGGCAACAGCGCAUGAGGAGAAAUAAAUGAACAGCGUGAGUGUGAGAUGAAACGCUGCCGUUCCUUCCUGUUCCUGAGCCGUGACCACUGAUGUCAGAGGGCGUCUGUGUGGGAGCAGCAGAGUUUCCAUGAAUGUUAACAGGCUCCGUGGGCGUCAGGUCCCAGCCAGGAAUCAACUGCUUUUAGACUUCAAGGUGCAACUCUUCAGCUGAUUCCACAACACCAGGCGUAAACAUGGAUUUACUUGAGAACCUGCAGAGGAAAAGUUGAAGAUUUGAACCAUUCAAGGUUUCAGCAGGGCACGAGUGUCAGCAAAU
Betta splendens (Siamese fighting fish) is the source of this 6542-nucleotide long non-coding RNA. RefSeq lists it as uncharacterized. NCBI's taxonomy places the organism in Eukaryota, Metazoa, Chordata, Actinopteri, Anabantiformes, Osphronemidae. The transcript has 4 exons. The record is from RefSeq and is a predicted model, not a curated record.